This 468-nucleotide ribosomal RNA is filed under the name uncultured bacterium. Its description in RNAcentral is "partial 16S ribosomal RNA". It matches the Rfam family "Bacterial small subunit ribosomal RNA", at positions 28 to 507 of the family's 1533-position model. The record is from RNAcentral.
GACGAACGCUGGCGGCGUGCUUAACACAUGCAAGUCGAACGGAAAGGCCCUGCUUUUGCGGGGUGCUCGAGUGGCGAACGGGUGAGUAACACGUGAGUAACCUGCCCUUGACUUUGGGAUAACUUCAGGAAACUGGGGCUCAUACCGGAUAGGAGCUCCUGCUGCAUGGUGGGGGUUGGAAAGUUUCGGCGGUUGGGGAUGGACUCGCGGCUAAUCAGCUUGUUGGUGUGGUAGUGGCUUACCAAGGCUUUGACGGGUAGCCGGCCUGAGAGGGUGACCGGGCACAUUGGGACUGAGAUACGGCCCAGACUCCUACGGGAGGCAGCAGGGGGGAAUAUUGCACAAUGGGCGGAAGCCUGAUGCAGCAACGCCGCGUGCGGGAUGACGGCCUUCGGGUUGUAAACCGCUUUCGCCUGUGACGAAGCGUGAGUGACGGUAAUGGGUAAAGAAGCACCGGCUAACUACGUG